GAGUUUGAUCGUGGCUCAGGAUGAACGCUAGCUACAGGCUUAACACAUGCAAGUCGAGGGGCAGCAUUUUAGUUUGCUUGCAAACUAAAGAUGGCGACCGGCGCACGGGUGAGUAACACGUAUCCAACCUGCCGAUAACUCGGGGAUAGCCUUUCGAAAGAAAGAUUAAUAUCCGAUAGUAUAUUAAAACCGCAUGGUUUUACUAUUAAAGAAUUUCGGUUAUCGAUGGGGAUGCGUUCCAUUAGUUUGUUGGCGGGGUAACGGCCCACCAAGACUACGAUGGAUAGGGGUUCUGAGAGGAAGGUCCCCCACAUUGGAACUGAGACACGGCCCAGACUCCUACGGGAGGCAGCAGUGGGGAAUAUUGGGCAAUGGGGGAAACCCUGACCCAGCAACGCCGCGUGAAGG
Molecule: ribosomal RNA, 408 nt
Filed under: uncultured bacterium
Lineage: Bacteria
Description: bacterial SSU rRNA
Rfam family: Bacterial small subunit ribosomal RNA
Source: RNAcentral